GGCAGACGGGUGAGUAAUGCAUAGGAAUCUACCUAGUAGUAUGGGAUAGCCACUAGAAAUGGUGGGUAAUACUGUAUAAUCCCUGCGGGGGAAAGAUUUAUCGCUAUUAGAUGAGCCUAUGUUAGAUUAGCUAGUUGGUAGGGUAAAGGCCUACCAAGGCAGUGAUCUAUAGCUGGUCUGAGAGGAUGAUCAGCCACACUGGAACUGAGAUACGGUCCAGACUCCUACGGGAGGCAGCAGUGGGGAAUAUUGGACAAUGGGCGCAAGCCUGAUCCAGCUAUGCCGCGUGAGUGAGGAAGGCCUUAGGGUUGUAAAACUCUUUCAGUGGGGAAGAUAAUGACGGUACCCACAGAAGAAGUCCCGGCAAACUCCGUGCCAGCAGCCGCGGUAAUACGGAGGGGGCAAGCGUUGUUCGGAAUUAUUGGGCGUAAAGGGCAUGUAGGCGGUUCGGUAAGUUAAAG
Molecule: ribosomal RNA, 461 nt
Filed under: uncultured Anaplasma sp.
Lineage: Bacteria; Pseudomonadati; Pseudomonadota; Alphaproteobacteria; Rickettsiales; Anaplasmataceae
Description: bacterial SSU rRNA
Rfam family: Bacterial small subunit ribosomal RNA
Source: RNAcentral